Polyodon spathula (Mississippi paddlefish) is the source of this 176-nucleotide long non-coding RNA. RefSeq lists it as uncharacterized. NCBI's taxonomy places the organism in Eukaryota, Metazoa, Chordata, Actinopteri, Acipenseriformes, Polyodontidae. The record is from RefSeq and is a predicted model, not a curated record. The transcript is spliced from 3 exons.
GAAACUAGAACCAAACAACAAAGUAAUAUAAUUCAAGAUGGGUUGCACUGGCAGUAGUCAGCAGAAGGAGAAAGACAAUCCUCUGGAUGGAGCAAACGGGUUGCCAGAUACUACAUACCCCCUCCGUGGUCCUCUAGCUCUUCCAGUUGAUCAGAGCAUACAGCCUCCAGAACAUG